This 253-nucleotide ribosomal RNA is filed under the name uncultured bacterium. RNAcentral's name for it is "partial 16S ribosomal RNA". It matches the Rfam family "Bacterial small subunit ribosomal RNA", at positions 524 to 776 of the family's 1533-position model. The record is from RNAcentral.
UACAGAGGGUGCGAGCGUUGUCCGGAAUCAUUGGGCGUAAAGCGCGUGUAGGCGGCCCGGUAAGUCCGCUGUGAAAGUCAAGGGCUCAACCCUUGGAUGCCGGUGGAUACUGCAGGGCUAGAGUCCGGAAGAGGCGAGUGGAAUUCCUGGUGUAGCGGUGAAAUGCGCAGAUAUCAGGAGGAACACCGAUGGCGAAGGCAGCUCGCUGGGACGGUACUGACGCUGAGGCGCGAAAGCGUGGGGAGCAAACAGG